GCCAGGUGCGGUGGCACACACUUGUAGGCCCAGGUCCUCGGGAGGCUGCGGCAGGAGGAUCGCUGGAGCCCAGGAGUUCUGGGCUGUAGUGCGCAAUGCCGAUUGGGUGUCCGCACUAAGUUCGGCAUCAAUAUGGUGACCUCCCGGGAGCGGGGGACCACCAGGUUGCCUAAGGAGGGGUGAACUGGCCCAGGUCGGCAACGGAGCAGGUCAGAAUGUUUCUAACUUAACCAGAGAUUAUUUAAUGAGUAAAUAUACAAUUAUUUAUUUAAAAUCAUUUAUUCUCAGCAAAAUCAAACAUAUCAUU
RNAcentral lists this signal recognition particle RNA (307 nucleotides) under Neogale vison (American mink). RNAcentral describes it as "Neovison vison (American mink) Metazoan signal recognition particle RNA (ENSNVIG00000002105.1)". It matches the Rfam family "Metazoan signal recognition particle RNA". Rfam says of the family: The signal recognition particle (SRP) is a universally conserved ribonucleoprotein. It is involved in the co-translational targeting of proteins to membranes. Lineage: Eukaryota; Metazoa; Chordata; Mammalia; Carnivora; Mustelidae. The record is from RNAcentral.